Molecule: ribosomal RNA, 1399 nt
Filed under: Staphylococcus aureus
Lineage: Bacteria; Bacillati; Bacillota; Bacilli; Caryophanales; Staphylococcaceae
Description: bacterial SSU rRNA
Rfam family: Bacterial small subunit ribosomal RNA
Source: RNAcentral
AGAGUUUGAUCCUGGCUCAGGAUGAACGCUGGCGGCGUGCCUAAUACAUGCAAGUCGAGCGAACGGACGAGAAGCUUGCUUCUCUGAUGUUAGCGGCGGACGGGUGAGUAACACGUGGAUAACCUACCUAUAAGACUGGGAUAACUUCGGGAAACCGGAGCUAAUACCGGAUAAUAUUUUGAACCGCAUGGUUCAAAAGUGAAAGACGGUCUUGCUGUCACUUAUAGAUGGAUCCGCGCUGCAUUAGCUAGUUGGUAAGGUAACGGCUUACCAAGGCAACGAUGCAUAGCCGACCUGAGAGGGUGAUCGGCCACACUGGAACUGAGACACGGUCCAGACUCCUACGGGAGGCAGCAGUAGGGAAUCUUCCGCAAUGGGCGAAAGCCUGACGGAGCAACGCCGCGUGAGUGAUGAAGGUCUUCGGAUCGUAAAACUCUGUUAUUAGGGAAGAACAUAUGUGUAAGUAACUGUGCACAUCUUGACGGUACCUAAUCAGAAAGCCACGGCUAACUACGUGCCAGCAGCCGCGGUAAUACGUAGGUGGCAAGCGUUAUCCGGAAUUAUUGGGCGUAAAGCGCGCGUAGGCGGUUUUUUAAGUCUGAUGUGAAAGCCCACGGCUCAACCGUGGAGGGUCAUUGGAAACUGGAAAACUUGAGUGCAGAAGAGGAAAGUGGAAUUCCAUGUGUAGCGGUGAAAUGCGCAGAGAUAUGGAGGAACACCAGUGGCGAAGGCGACUUUCUGGUCUGUAACUGACGCUGAUGUGCGAAAGCGUGGGGAUCAAACAGGAUUAGAUACCCUGGUAGUCCACGCCGUAAACGAUGAGUGCUAAGUGUUAGGGGGUUUCCGCCCCUUAGUGCUGCAGCUAACGCAUUAAGCACUCCGCCUGGGGAGUACGACCGCAAGGUUGAAACUCAAAGGAAUUGACGGGGACCCGCACAAGCGGUGGAGCAUGUGGUUUAAUUCGAAGCAACGCGAAGAACCUUACCAAAUCUUGACAUCCUUUGACAACUCUAGAGAUAGAGCCUUCCCCUUCGGGGGACAAAGUGACAGGUGGUGCAUGGUUGUCGUCAGCUCGUGUCGUGAGAUGUUGGGUUAAGUCCCGCAACGAGCGCAACCCUUAAGCUUAGUUGCCAUCAUUAAGUUGGGCACUCUAAGUUGACUGCCGGUGACAAACCGGAGGAAGGUGGGGAUGACGUCAAAUCAUCAUGCCCCUUAUGAUUUGGGCUACACACGUGCUACAAUGGACAAUACAAAGGGCAGCGAAACCGCGAGGUCAAGCAAAUCCCAUAAAGUUGUUCUCAGUUCGGAUUGUAGUCUGCAACUCGACUACAUGAAGCUGGAAUCGCUAGUAAUCGUAGAUCAGCAUGCUACGGUGAAUACGUUCCCGGGUCUUGUACAC